Molecule: long non-coding RNA, 3034 nt
Filed under: Strongylocentrotus purpuratus (purple sea urchin)
Lineage: Eukaryota; Metazoa; Echinodermata; Echinoidea; Camarodonta; Strongylocentrotidae
Description: uncharacterized LOC100890689
Source: RNAcentral
GGUCUGCGUGUGCUUAGAACUAGACUAGUCUAUUACUAUUAGUUCAUCGUCGAUCCGUCGUCCCAUGCCCUCCUCAGAGACAGACCACGCCACAGAAGCCGCUAAAAUGGUGUUUUCGAGAUGUUUUAAGAGGGGCAGGUAGACACUUGAUGACAAUCAACGCAAAGGCACAAGGUCACUGUCAAGAUAAAGGAGAAAUGGCAUGUGUACUCCACCGAUUGUGAGAAGGGGCUCUUGAUUAUCCUUUGAAAAAAGUGGUAGAUCAAGUUGAUCCAGUGUAACAGUAGCAGCAAAUCUAUGAGAUUUCAUAUGGGAUCCCUUUAAGUACAAGGUCUACGCAGCUUCACACACGCACUGAGAGGGACCUGGCAGAGGCUAAUAGCAUGGCCCUUGGUAUGAUCAGCCUAAGGUUAAGGUUGAUUCAACGAGACAUUAAAUGGAGAUUUUUCAGUGAAUAUUUUUUUAAUGUUUAAUUCCAGAUAUUUAAUUGUCUCAAGUAAAAAAAUAUGUGUUCACUAGUGUUGAUUUGAAAAAAAAGCUCCUGCUGUGGCAAUCGAAAAGAGCGCUAUAUUUUGAUUUCUUACAAAGAAGUUUCAGAACCUAUGACUAUAAAAUUUCACACUUUAUAUCUAAAGGGUUUAAUUAUUUAAAAUAAUUUGCAAGUUUCUUGGAGGUUACACAAAUUUGAAAAAGUGUAAUUUGUAAGAGUUUACAGAACUCAAUAUCACUGUAUUUUGAUGAUAUUUAAUUUGGGUUUGAAUUAGAGCAAACAAUUUAAGAUUAUACAAGUUAAACAAAUAGGGUGUGUAGUUUGAUAAAUGUGGGAUAUCCAUUUGUUUCAUUAUACUACAAAUUUUUGUGAAAGGUCGAUCAUCCACUAUUGUUAGAGGAAACCUCACAAAACCUCACCCUAAAGAAUAAGCGUAGGUAUUCUGAAAAGUGAGAUGUAUUUCUGCCGGCCCUAUGAUGUACAAAAUUCCUUACGAAAAUGGAAAAGAGCUACCGGUAUGUAGGAUGCGAAAGUUAAUGUGGUUAGAUGAGCAAGUGUGCACUUGUAAAAAUGACACCUGGCUGGAAUGAUCCCCAGGAAGUAGAGAAUGUGCAUACAUAGUGUGCGGGUAAGCCUGAAUCUGAUGACCGGGGUAAUAAUAUAUCUGUAAAGCACUUAGAGACAUCAUACGCUAUAUAAAAGCGGAAUCAUUAUUAUUAUUAUUUUAUUUUAGGCCUCAGAUGAAGGAAAUGGGUGCCGAAAGAUAUCCUUUGAGCACCUUAUCUCUGCCAAAACUGCAUUAAUAAUUUAGCACUUUAUGUAAAGUCCAUUAGAUAAUAUUUAUUUGAUGGUAUUAUCGUAAUGGCAUUCAGGAAAAGUCAACUUCAGGUGUACAAUCAUCUUGCAACUAAUAAACCUUAUAUGUGAUUUAAAUAGUUUGUAAAAUGAUUAGAAUAAUGAUAAAAGGAUAUGAGAAUGGUUAUGGUAUACCACUUAUAAGCUUGUAUUACAAGAUGAUUUCAACAUAAAAAAUAAACCCAAACAAGCAAAAAUAUUGAGCAUUCAACCAUACUAUUUUUUAAAGAUGUGUAUGUACACAAGAACCAAAUGAGAUCACUUUAAGGCGCCACGGAGGCAUAUAUUACAUGUAGUGUCUUAUAGCUCAUGCAAAAGUUGGUAACCCCCUGCCUAACUAUUUGUUCAGGUUUUUCUGAUAUGUGUUGCUAGAUAGCAAGAUGAUUACCAUUCUACAAGCUCCUUGAAAUUAUUUCUUGCAAAAGUUGAAUACUGUACUAAAACAUAAGAGGUGACAAUUAUUAGUCCCCUGUCAUCAUCUAAAUUCCUAUAUGGCUUCUUUUCUUUUCUGUAACCAUGUUAAAUAUCACAAACUAGUUAUUAAAAGCUCCAUAAGUUUUCUGAAUUCAAAGGUGACCAAGUGCCUACCGGUACUUCAUUCUUAUUAUUUACUUUGACUGGCCUUAUUAUCUCUUGUGCUAUGUUUCAGGUGUGGGCAACACAUCCAUAUUUGUGUGGGCGUAUUAAACCUGACUGCAGCUAUUGCUCUUUGUACAUUAAAUAUGUAACAAAUGAAAGCAUUGUAAAGUUGUAAACAUGUUUACGGCAUAGCUUCUGUAUGAGGCUAUUGAUAUAUCACCUGUGUAAAUAUAUACAUUAUUUCAAUAACAUUUGCUAUUUUUUGUGGGGAUAAUAGUGCUAUACAUUCCAUUCAAAUAUACAAACAGACCGGUUUUAUUGUACAUAGGUCAUGCUGAAAUAUAAUAGUGUAAAUGAAGAAAAAUUACCAUGUAGUAAAUAUGAUUUCAGGAACACGAUGUUGGUUUGCUGCAAUUCGAGAAUUGCUGUGUUGACAAUUGUUCCGGGCUUUAGUUUAACAAAAUUGUAGGGUUAGGGUUAAGGUUAGAUUAAUAUUUAAGCAAGAUUUAGGGUUAGGUAUAGUAUUGGUCCAGGAUUAAAGUUAGUAAUUCAUUUAAUGUUGGGAACUAUUGUGAAGCAAUUUUAGUAGGAGCAUGUGUCACAAAACUCAAUUUUUCCUCACAUUUUGUAGGAGGUAUUAUACUUAAGUAUUCAUCAUGGAAUACCCAAACAAAGUCUGUUUUGUAUGUGCUUUAUUUUUUGUUUGGUGUGCAUGUUGAUAUUUCUGACUGUAGUAGUAGUAGUAGUAAUAGUAGUAGUAGUAGUAGUAGUAGUAGUAUAGUAGUAGUAGUAGUAGUAGUAUAGUGGUAGUAGUAGAAAUUAGUUUUACAAGCUCAGUUUUAAAAAGCCUCUCAACAAAACUUAAUAUAGACAAGUACAAAUAAUACACAGUACAAUAGGUGACAACUUAUUACUUAUUCCAUACUUGCAAACAAAUUGAUGAUAAAAAUAGAAUAGAUUCGUCAUUAGUAUUAUUUUUUAUAAUUAUUGUUAAGUGAGGAAUAUUCAUAUUUUAAAUAGAAAUCGAGACUGAUUAAUUGAGUGUGUGACAAGUAAAUACUGAAGAUUUGUUUGAUUUUGAACCAUAUUAAAAUGCAAAUUUAUUGCCUA